UGGCCAAAGAUGAAAUUAGUAAACUGAAAGAACUAUUUCUGUAGAAUAGUAUGCACCAUAUAUGAUGGCUUAAAGGAUUUUCUGAGGCCA
Molecule: small nucleolar RNA, 90 nt
Filed under: Notechis scutatus (mainland tiger snake)
Lineage: Eukaryota; Metazoa; Chordata; Lepidosauria; Squamata; Elapidae
Description: Small nucleolar RNA SNORD93 (ENSNSUG00000015193.1)
Source: RNAcentral